RNAcentral lists this ribosomal RNA (833 nucleotides) under uncultured Staphylococcus sp. Its description in RNAcentral is "bacterial SSU rRNA". It matches the Rfam family "Bacterial small subunit ribosomal RNA", at positions 78 to 894 of the family's 1533-position model. Lineage: Bacteria; Bacillati; Bacillota; Bacilli; Caryophanales; Staphylococcaceae. The record is from RNAcentral.
GCUUGCUUCUCUGAUGUUAGCGGCGGACGGGGGAGUAACACGUGGAUAACCUACCUAUAAGACUGGGAUAACUUCGGGAAACCGGAGCUAAUACCGGAUAAUAUUUUGAACCGCAUGGUUCAAAAGUAAAAGAUGGUCUUGCUGUCACUUAUAGAUGGAUCCGCGCUGCAUUAGCUAGUUGGUAAGGUGAACGGCUUACCAAGGCAACGAUGCAUAGCCGACCUGAGAGGGUGAUCGGCCACACUGGAACUGAGGCACGGUCCAGACUCCUACGGGAGGCAGCAGUAGGGAAUCUACCGCAAUGGGCGAAAGCCUGACGGAGCAACGCCGCGUGAGUGAUGAAGGUCUUCGGAUCGUAAAACUCUGUUAUUAGGGAAGAACAUAUGUGUAAGUAACUGUGCACAUCUUGACGGUACCUAAUCAGAAAGCCACGGCUAACUACGUGCCAGCAGCCGCGGUAAUACGUAGGUGGCAAGCGUUAUCCGGAAUUAUUGGGCGUAAAGCGCGCGUAGGCGGUUUUUUAAGUCUGAUGUGAAAGCCCACGGCUCAACCGUGGAGGGUCAUUGGAAACUGGAAAACUUGAGUGCAGAAGAGGAAAGUGGAAUUCCAUGUGUAGCGGUGAAAUGCGCAGAGAUAUGGAGGAACACCAGUGGUGAAGGCGACUUUCUGGUCUGUAACUGACGCUGAUGUGCGAAAGCGUGGGGAUCAAACAGGAUUAGAUACCCUGGUAGUCCACGCCGUAAACGAUGGGUGCUAAGUGUUAGGGGGUUUCCGCCCCUUAGUGCUGCAGCUAACGCAUUAAGCACUCCGCCUGGGGAGUACGACCGCAAGUG